GAUCCUGGCUCAGGAUGAACGCUAGCGGCAGGCUUAACACAUGCAAGUCGAGGGGCAGCAUAAUGGAUAGCAAUAUCUAUGGUGGCGACCGGCGCACGGGUGCGUAACGCGUAUGCAACCUACCUUUAACAGGGGGAUAACACUGAGAAAUUGGUACUAAUACCCCAUAAUAUCAUAGAAGGCAUCUUUUAUUGGUUGUAAAAUUACCGAUGGUUAGGAGAUGGGCGAUGCGUUGUUA
This 238-nucleotide ribosomal RNA is filed under the name uncultured bacterium. RNAcentral describes it as "partial 16S ribosomal RNA". It matches the Rfam family "Bacterial small subunit ribosomal RNA", at positions 15 to 241 of the family's 1533-position model. The record is from RNAcentral.